AGGGGCUGGCACCUGUGAUCCCAGUAGCCUGCUGGCCAGAGCCCAGGCCUCCCAGACCUUGUAUUGAGCCCCCUCCCCCAGAUACACAUGCUGGUGCUGGACAGCUGGGCUGUGGCGGAAGUUUACACAGAAAGGGUUUGCUGGGCCAUCUCCGUACACGCAGCUUCACUUCCUUCUGAAGCCCAACCCAUGUCUGAGCUGCAGCCAUGGGGGUUCUGGGAGCCAUGGAGGCCAUGAGGCAGGUUGGGAGGGUCUGCUCCCAGCCUCCCAGACUCUGCCACUCCUGCCUGUCCCCAGGCCCUGAUGACCUCCCAUCCUUCUGUGUCCCGCAGAUCCCUGCAGUCAGAACUCAGGCACACUGGGCCCUGCUGGCAGAGGAUGUUGGGCCCGAAUCCAAUCCAUGUGUGAGUUGUUCCCAGGGAAGUGACGUGCCAUGCCAAUUCACCCAGCCUUGGGCUGCUGGGCUUGACAUGCUCAACUGGGGGCAAUGGAGCAAAUUCCCAGAACAAGUUUUGAGAAAGAUGAUUCAGAGGUUUGCAGAGGAUGAGGAAAGGUCCAGACUCUGCCCUGUCAAUCAUCCCAGGGGCUCCUAGGCUUCCCUACCUGACUACUUCACUGGGGCCAAAUCCCCACAGACAAUCGUGGCUUAGGGCUGUCUGCCUCUGCACUUGGCCCAUGGGCUGCCUGUGAGUCUUCUCUCGCUUCCUCAUUCCUUUGAGGGGGAAUGUUCUCGGAGCUCUGUCCUUAUCUAUGAUGACUACUGCGGGGCAGCCAGCAUUUGCUCUGGAGAAGCCUUACCGCAAACACCAGGCACCAAGGUGCACAUCCCUGAUGGAUCCUGGGAUCAGCUGACACUCAAUCCACCUGCCCUCUGGGCCCUCUGGGUCCACGCGGCAGCUGGAGGUAUUGUAGACACUUAAAAAAAAAAUGGGUUCUGGUAAGAAGAAGGUGAGAAAUGGCUAUUUGUCCACAUUGGGACUCAAAGGGGUGGGAUGGCAUGCCCUUACAUGGGACUCCUACCCGCAGCGGGGCGGCUGGCCACUCUGAGGGCAGUUUUGCACCUGCCUCCCGGCUGGAAAGUGAGUUCCCACUGUGCUGUCCUUCCCUGGGGCCCAGCACAGGGCCUGGCCCCACACAGACCUGAAAAGGUUGGUAGGAUGACUGAAUGAAUUGACUCUGGGGUGCAGCAGGGCCCAUGGGCAGAGGCUCCAGAGCCUGGGAAGGAUGGGGUGGCCUUUCUGUGGCCCUCCAAAUUGAGAGAGGUCUCAGACGCCUGACACUACGGCUUUCCAGCUUUCCAUCCAGGUUUCCUAGUCACCCGCGGAGGGUUCAGCGCCCCGGUGGUCUUGGGGUCCCGCCUUAAGGGCGGUGCCUAGGGCAGAGGGAGGAGGGAUGUCGGCCCCUUCAGAACCGCACCCCAGGCCCUCCCCACCACCUUUCCUUCCUUCAAGCCCUCUGCCUUCCCAGUCGCCCCGCCCCCUGCCCCUCUGUCCUAGGCGCAAGUCUCCCGGCCUGGGACGCCUGCCGCCAGCGCCCGCCCGCCUGCCCCGCCCCUCGCCCCCCGCACCCCCGCAGCCCCUCCGUCCACUCUCG
Molecule: long non-coding RNA, 1593 nt
Organism: Piliocolobus tephrosceles (Ugandan red Colobus)
Lineage: Eukaryota; Metazoa; Chordata; Mammalia; Primates; Cercopithecidae
Source: Ensembl